UACGUAGGGGGCAAGCGUUGUCCGGAAUCAUUGGGCGUAAAGAGCGUGUAGGCGGUUUGUCGCGUCUGCUGUGAAAACUCAGGGCUUAACCCUGAGCCUGCAGUGGGUACGGGCAGACUAGAGUGUGGUAGGGGAGAUCGGAAUUCCUGGUGUAGCGGUGGAAUGCGCAGAUAUCAGGAGGAACACCGGUGGCGAAGGCGGAUCUCUGGGCCAUAACUGACGCUGAGGAGCGAAAGCAUGGGGAGCGAACAGG
This 253-nucleotide ribosomal RNA is filed under the name uncultured bacterium. Its description in RNAcentral is "partial 16S ribosomal RNA". It matches the Rfam family "Bacterial small subunit ribosomal RNA", at positions 524 to 776 of the family's 1533-position model. The record is from RNAcentral.